GGACUGCUUAGAAGCCUAAAGCCACCAAAUCCCACAGCAUUAAUAUCCUAGGAAAGCGUGGAGGACACUGGUCCCCGGGGGAUCCCUUCUUGGGUUUGAAGGCAUUUUGUACUCUAUCAGGCGAAAGGAAAUACACAUUAGCCGAAUACAGGCAGACUGCUCAGAUGCUAUAAAAGAUUCCCAGUAGAGCUCCUUAAAGCUUUUCUGACUGAUCUUCGACUUCAAGGUUCUGCCCAAGCAGUCGGCCCUGGAAGCCGAUAUGUUCGAACGGGGCUGACAGCUGGCCAGGAUCAAACCAGUCCGGACCUUUGACAGAUCUCUUGCACAGGCUGAGGAAAGGAUCUCAUACAGUCAUUCACACUGAAGUAUAAAGGUCUAAGAAGAUCUAUCAGCCUAUUCAGGGAUAUUUACAUUUUACCUGGAAGCUAAGCGUUGAGCAAGAAGAAUUAAAACACAGAAAUGGGAGCAGACGGCUCCGGCUCUCCUCCACCCCCCGCCGCACCCCGUCUGUGGUUUUUCAUGCCUCAAAAGCGGAUGAGGCUUCUACUCAGAUUCUGCCUGCACAUCUCACAUAAUCUUAGAAAUUUCUGUUCCAAAGUCUCUUCCUCUGGUCAGUUUCUUCUUCAUACAUGACUUUCCAAAGCCCAGGCCAUACUGUCACCUAUCAGGUGGCCAAGAGUGGCCAGAAGCCCCACGCCAAGUUAAGUUCACUGGGCACAGAAAGGUCUCCAAGGCACCUUCUGAAUCUGUCAAAGCCAAUUUGAAAAUGGGGGUCUGAGGCCAAAUGGGAAAGUUGAGGGGCGCACACAGAGAACAGACUGAGCCUCAGCCUGAAGGCAGUUCAUUACUAAUCCAAUGAGUAGCUCCAAACAAGCCAGACCACAGGGAUGUUGGCCAAGAGCACAAGGAAAGUUCUCUCUUUACUCAAGUCUGUAGCCUGCCCUAGAACAAAGGAGCAAAGGUUCCUCAAAACAUAAACACAGCUGACUCUCUGGAGGAAAAAAGAGUCUCUCUUUUUUAUCUGUAAAAACCAGAUCCCUUGGGGACCAGGCCUGAGAAUCUGCAUUUGUGAAAGGCUCCCCAGGAGAGUUGAUGAUCUAAAUUAAAGUGAUGACAAACAAAAACAGCAAAGUAGGGCACUUUUUGUUAGCUUUUGUCCUAUGGCAUUGUGAACAUCAACAAUAAGGAAUAUGAUAUUUAACUUACUUAUUGAUUUAUUUUUUAAAACAGCAGAAAGAUGCUGAGAUAGGAGACCAUGCUCAACAAGACAUCUUCAACUGCCCACAAAAGACCUGUUGUUUUCAUACUCAAAGGGUCACCAACGGUCAACAGCAACAAGUCCAAGGCAAAUCUGGUCAUGGCUUUGCUUUACUUUGUCUUUCCCUCCAUGCAUAAAAAACCCUUUUACCCAAGGUAAAUUACAGGGCAGAAGGCCCCUUUUGUUUCUACCUGGGGGCUGUUCUGAGGGUGAAACAGAAGGUCCCAAGCAGCCGGGAGGAUCCGAAGACGUCUGCAAGCUGGAGAGUGAACUUUGGGGACACCUGCGGACCCCACAAAGAACUGUCCUGGGACAUGGGAAAAGGCCAACUCUGGUGGACAGAGAAGCUGUAUCUGGCUCACCAUGGAGCCCAUGUCAGCACCCAUCCUGGUCCGUCGGGGGACUAGGAACUUAGAAUUAACAGAAUACCACCAGCUGGGGGACUGGGCUGAAAGUUACACUCACAGUUCCGGAAGCUAGAAGUCCGAGCUCAGAGUGCCAGUGCGGUUGGCUGGAGGGCCUCUUGUAGAUCUCGAACUUCUUGUAUCCUUAGUGAUGGCAGGGAUGAGAGAACUCUCUGGAGUCUCUCUGACAAGGGCACUAAUCCCUUUCCCAGGGGCCCUACCCUCAGGACCUGAUAGCUUCCCAAAGGCCCCACCUUAUAUCAUCCCCUUCUGGUGGGGGUGGGGGGUUUGGAUUUCAACACACAAAUGGGAGUGGGGAACAAACCUUCAGGCUGUUCGCUUUCCAGGCCAACCCGCCAAUCUCACAGUCACCCAGCCUUUGAGUCCAAGAAAUAGGAUGAAAAGAGAACUCGACUUGGGGUCCGAAAACAUGGGUCUGGAUUCUGACCCCGACACUUCCUGGCCACAGAGACAGCUAAGUCUCUGUGCUUCUGUUUCCGAGAACUGCCCAAUCCUCCCUCCCAGCUCUUGCGGGGCAGUAAGGAGCGGAAGGAGGUGUACUCUGCAUCUAUCUCCAAGGCCAUCAGCUCAUGUUCUUGACACUCCCUCCCGCUUGCCACCACAUUCCACCAGUCACCAAAUCUUGCUGAUUCUGAUCUCCUUUGGGUGCCUCCCGGACAUUCUCGAUUUUCUCCUUUCAUCAGGGCCACUGUCCUCCUAUCCUCCGUGUUCAAGCUGACCGGAACCACUGGUGGCUCACUGUGACAGUAUUUGGGCUCCGAGCCUUCUGGCAGUCUUCUGCGGUUGGAGGGAGUGAGCGCCCGAAGCCUCCUCUCGUUCCACCUCUCGACCAGGUGGCCCAUUACAAUGGAAGCAAGUCUCAGACCGAAUCCUGACACGCAGAGACACUUACCAGGCAGCAGGAACAAAUACCAGACCACCUGUUUUUUAAGCUGGGCAGAGACCCAGCUCUCCAUCUUUUCAUUCGGAGCAGAUGUGACGAGAAGCUAGCAGCAAGAUACGGUUAAUUGGUCCGAUGACAGGAUUCUCCUUAAGCAGAUGGACACGGGAUCUAGCGGAAUUCUAAGAGUUGGAGGCCAUUCCAAAGGAUUUGAGCUGCUUAGACUCAGCUCCUGCAAAGGCAAAGCUGCCUGUAUGGCUUGUCUAACAGAUCCAACACAUGUGGCUCAUUCCACCAAUGAAAAGAGACCGUCUAACACCCUGAUGCUAAUUAAUACACCUUCCGAUGCUCACUAGAAAUAAAUAUAAUGAAGUGGUAGCAUCAGCCUCUGGAAUAUAAUAGAAAUACUCCUAAAUAGCCCAAGAUACCUAGGAAACUUCAAAUAUUACAUAUUAAAUAACUGUGCCUAGGGUAGCAAUUAAACACACUUAUACACACAUCAUCGCCUCAUUGUUUAAAGAGUUCCUUUUUAAAAAUUAAAGAUAAUAUAACAGUGCCA
Neogale vison (American mink) is the source of this 3122-nucleotide long non-coding RNA. RefSeq lists it as uncharacterized. The record is from RefSeq and is a predicted model, not a curated record. The transcript is spliced from 2 exons. NCBI's taxonomy places the organism in Eukaryota, Metazoa, Chordata, Mammalia, Carnivora, Mustelidae.